This is a small RNA of 73 nucleotides. It matches the Rfam family "bZIP non canonical Hac1/Xbp1 intron". Rfam says of the family: bZIP intron RNA is a non-canonical intron that was first reported in HAC1 gene in yeast and XBP1 gene in Metazoa. The record is from Rfam.
CACCUCUCCCGUCCUGACACAACAUCCUGCCGAGAUGUUGUCUGACCUGCAGUGUCACACGUCGGCGGAGGUG